AUGGGCUGUGCCUCUGCCAAGCAUGUUGCCACUGUUCAAAAUGAAGAGGAAGCCCAGAAAGGGAAGAACUACCAGAACGGAGAUGUGUUUCGCGAUGAGUAUAGGAUCAAACCGGUGGAAGAGGUCAAAUACAUGAAAAACGGGGCAGAAGAGGAGCAGAAGAUAGCAGUCAGGAACCAAGAAACCUUGGAAAAAAGUGAGAGUUCAAAUGUAAGACUUUAAUAAAGAGAUUCCAGGAUUAGUUCAUCAACCCAGAGCAAACAUGUACAUCUCUGAAACCCAACAAGAAUUCUUCAGAAUGUUGGAUGAAAAAAUUGAAAAGGGUCAAGAUUACUGUUCGAAAAAAGAAGAUACCACAUAA
RNAcentral lists this long non-coding RNA (361 nucleotides) under Bos taurus (domestic cattle). RNAcentral describes it as "long non-coding RNA NONBTAT018243". Lineage: Eukaryota; Metazoa; Chordata; Mammalia; Artiodactyla; Bovidae. The record is from RNAcentral.